This 75-nucleotide antisense RNA is filed under the name Streptomyces sp. Rer75. RNAcentral describes it as "ASpks TB sRNA". It matches the Rfam family "ASpks TB sRNA". The record is from Rfam by way of RNAcentral. Lineage: Bacteria; Bacillati; Actinomycetota; Actinomycetes; Kitasatosporales; Streptomycetaceae.
CUUGAUGGAGCCCAGCCACAACGGCCGGUCCUCCGCCCUCCCCUGCCCGUACGUGGCCAGCAGCGCCUGCGCCUC